GAGCAUGUAGCUCAGUGGAUAGAGCAUCAGAUUCCGAUUCUGAUAGUCGAAGGUUCAAGUCCUUCCUUGCUCAC
This 74-nucleotide transfer RNA is filed under the name Renouxia sp. Its description in RNAcentral is "tRNA-Arg". It matches the Rfam family "tRNA". Rfam says of the family: Transfer RNA (tRNA) molecules are approximately 80 nucleotides in length. Their secondary structure includes four short double-helical elements and three loops (D, anti-codon, and T loops). The record is from RNAcentral. Lineage: Eukaryota; Rhodophyta; Florideophyceae; Rhodogorgonales; Rhodogorgonaceae.